Molecule: non-coding RNA, 72 nt
Organism: Pangasius djambal
Lineage: Eukaryota; Metazoa; Chordata; Actinopteri; Siluriformes; Pangasiidae
Source: the annotation of a GenBank genome assembly
CCCCUGACGGGCUAGUGGUUAGGCCUCGGCGCUAUCACUGCCGCAACCCGGGGUCGAUUCCCAGUCAGGGAA